RNAcentral lists this transfer RNA (73 nucleotides) under Trichonephila clavata. It matches the Rfam family "tRNA". Rfam says of the family: Transfer RNA (tRNA) molecules are approximately 80 nucleotides in length. Their secondary structure includes four short double-helical elements and three loops (D, anti-codon, and T loops). The record is from Rfam by way of RNAcentral. Lineage: Eukaryota; Metazoa; Arthropoda; Arachnida; Araneae; Nephilidae.
GUCCCUGUAGCGCAAUGCAUAGUGUGUUGGACUUCUAAUCCAAAGAUCGUGGGUUCGGAUCCCACCUGGGAUA